Molecule: long non-coding RNA, 1945 nt
Organism: Cygnus olor (mute swan)
Lineage: Eukaryota; Metazoa; Chordata; Aves; Anseriformes; Anatidae
Exons: 3
Source: RefSeq, a predicted model, not a curated record
GUGUGAAUUCUUUAUACAUUGUGGGUUAUAUCUUACACCUUUCAUUAGAAAAUAAAAAACCACCGCAGGACCAAAAAAAAACACACUAUAAACAGCAGUGAAAUUAAAAAGGAAGGCUUUUGGCUGAAUGGAGGGCAAGGCAAUGAGGAUAGCAUUUUGAAGACAUUUUUAAUGCGUCUCUGAUUUUAUUUACUAACCACCCUCUAUGAUGAAAAGCAAAGUACCUCUUCCAGCAGUAUCUUUACAGGAGAGCUGCAGCUGCAGCCAGACUGCACGAAGCCACGCGGUGCUCAGCCCUGCCCGGGUCUCGGUGAGCGCAGGGGCCGGCUGCGUCAGCUCUGCUGGUGGAGCAGGUAGAGCCGAUUUCCCCAGAGAAAUCAAUAGGAAGUGGCGGUGUGUUUCCAGGCCAACACCAGGAGUGGAAAGCCCGGGGUGAAGCCAGACGGGCAGCGAUGCUGCUUGCAAGCCAAACACCCUGCGAUUGCUUCAUUCACAGCUAGAGCGGCUUCCUGGGCAGAACCUUCACAACUUAAUGCCCCUAAGAAAACAGGCUUGCUAAACGUCUGCUCCACAAGUGUGACUCAGAAGUUCACUCCCCAUCAACGCUUCUCAGCAGCAAUAAGGAGAAGUGAUUCUGUGCCGUGCCAGAUCCUGACAGGGCAGAGAAAUGCGGUUAUGCCAUCCUGCUUUACGCAAAAAUGCAAUGCUUUGAGUUCCAAAUCAUAGUAUCAUUAAGAGCAAGGAGACUUGAACUGGUUGCAAUGCAACUAUUCUGAGUGCAGAAAUUUCUCUGUGCAAGAUGGAGCCAAGAAAUGUAAAUAUCUGUUAUUACUGCUAUUAUGAUUAUCUCCAACUUUCAGAGGAGAGCUAUAGCACACAGAGAAAGCCGUGGUGUCCUAGGUCCCAGCUGGAGCUUGGGGCAUCUUUGCCCCUAAUUCCUAGCCUCAUUUCGCAGGCAGACCUGUGCAGGCCACUAAGGGGUUAAAGGGCAGCUGAGCUCUAACAAAAGCUGCAGAAUACACCCAAAAAACCAGGUCAGGUGCUGCAGAGGAAGGUGCCAGCCUUCCUGCCCCACUGUCUCCAAACUCAGCUUUCGGCAAACACUGAAUUUGCACUCCAAGGCUGUUUGAACCCAAGUGUCAUUAUUACAGACCCUGUUGAACUUCUCCAUCACAAAGAGAAAAGAAUGCUCUGGAACCUGCCUGGUGCCCUGCCCCAGGACAGUGACACACCAAACACCAGCUUCUUUCACGGACCAGCAUCCAGAAACCUCACUGCCUAUCGGCUCGAUCCAGUUUUGUCCAUUCUCUAAGCAUCGCUUGACUAGAACAGUCACAGGGAGCAGGGACAUUUAAAGAGGACAUUUAACAAGCUUAUUGUCGUGCACUCCACACAGAGUUUUCAGCUCCCAACUAUUUCAGUUUCUCAAAGCCAGAGUUCUGGGAAGAUAUCGGAAAGUCAGGUGUGUCCCAUGUUCUUCAUUACCUUUCCUCGUUUGGUCAGACUGGCAAGAACAGGAUAAAGCCCCUUGUGUGAAAAAGGUAGAAUUUGCCUCAAGUUAGUUGGCUACACUGAAGAAGCACAUUUAUGAAUUGGCAUCUCUGUGAAGGAGACCUGCACAUUAGUAAUUAAACUGAUUACUCCCAACAUGCCAUGAUUUAGCUGCUACAUUUAUUUUCCAGACCCAACCCUGGCUUCAGCUGGGACAUAGAGAAACUGCGUGUACCCACUGGACUGUAAGAGUUUUUAUUUAGAAGAAGAAAAAAAAUGAUUCUGGAAAAGAAUUGGGAAUAUCUUGAAAUUUCAAACUUGUAUUUUCAGUAAUUAAAAUUCUCAGUACUACCCUUUUAUCAAGGUAUCUUUCCAAAUCUUACUGAAACUCAUCAUCAUCCACUGAGAUAAGAUGAUCUAUAUUUAACAGCCAAGGAAAUCAAUGCAAUGGCAU